CACGAAGCUGGAUUCGCUAGUAAUCGCGCAUCAGCCACGGCGCGGUGAAUACGUUCCCGGGCCUUGUACACACCGCCCGUCAAGCCAUGGGAGCCGGGGGUACCUGAAGUGCGUAACCGCGAGGAGCGCCCUAGGGUAAAACUGGUGACUGGGGCUAAGUCGUAACAAGGUAAC
Molecule: ribosomal RNA, 174 nt
Filed under: uncultured bacterium
Lineage: Bacteria
Description: partial 16S ribosomal RNA
Rfam family: Bacterial small subunit ribosomal RNA
Source: RNAcentral